RNAcentral lists this long non-coding RNA (1403 nucleotides) under Bemisia tabaci. RNAcentral's name for it is "lncRNA ENSSSA2NGG002341". The record is from RNAcentral. Lineage: Eukaryota; Metazoa; Arthropoda; Insecta; Hemiptera; Aleyrodidae.
AAAGCCGUUAUCGAAGAAUCGACCAAUAGGAGACGAGAGCCCCCCACUUUUUCCCGCUCCCGACAACGGCCCAACGAACGAGCGAGGCGCUCGCAUUCCUGAAUUCGUCGGUUUGUUUACAACUUGUAUCCUCUCUUAUCAGGAGUUAGAGACAUAUUUUAGUGUUCCUUAUCGUGUUUCUCAUGGUUUUUGACAGUGCAAUACUUCAUGUUGUUUCCGCAAUUUUAUGUUAUACUCGUUUUUUAUUUGUGUUAUCUAUCAGUGACGUAAAUUAUUGCAGCAUUGUGGCUGGAAUAUCAUGACCGGCAACAUUCGUAGAGCUGUGACUCCAUUGAAGUCUGCAUCAACGAAUAGCUCUCGAUCGACGAGCCCUUCCCACUCCUUUAUUCCAGCACCGAGAGUCUCUGCUCGCAGUUCCCUGAAUGAAAAGCAACUCACCGGUAGUGGAGUUCCUCGGAGCAGUAAUGUUCCCACACGUGUUAGUUUGGCAAGCCCCUAUAAUCCUGCAAAUACCAAAUCAUCCAUCAUCUUUACACCCAAAGAGAAACCAAAAUCAAGUAUCGGUAGUACCAAAAGGACAUCUAGUUCGAGUGGAUUCAGUUCAGCCAGAUCGGAGAGAAGUGAUUCCUCAAAUAGCCUGUAUAAUGAUCCAAAGCAAACGACUCUUGAGAAGAAAAUUCCAUCCUCAACAGAUUCAGCACUGCGGAAAAAGCUUAUCAAGACUGGUGAAUCUAAAAUAGCAACAAAAACUAACUGUAAAGUUCAACAAAUUAGACCUUUAAGCAAAGCUGCCUUAGAUAAACAAAACGAGCUUACAAACUCCAUAACAUCUGAGACAAGUGAUGAAUCAAGACUUAGCAUUGGAGGUGGCAGCAGCAUACCAAAACCACUAGCAGCAGUUAAAGGAACAAGCAAGCCGACUCAUUGUGUGUCCCCCAUGCCUGUUUUAGAACAAACCACUAUCGUCAUUGAAAAUGAUGAAAGCAUCAAGAAAAAAGAAGAUGACGAUGAAAAGAAAGCGAAAGAAGAAAUAAAAGAAACUGAGAAGAUUGUACCACCAACUGUAAACAACCACACUAAACAAGUUUCUGUGGAUGAGGAAGACUGUUUAUCAAACAUCAAGCCAAUGCAACCAAUGAGAGGCUAUCCCAAGCAAAACGGCAUGCUGCAGCGGGCUCACUUAUCCACAGAACAACUAGCAAUGCAUCAUCAGUCAAUGGGGAUGCAGUCUCAAAACUACAUGAGGCACCUAGAAAACAGUAGGACAAGGUUGAACUCUGACCACUCGGGUAUGAAUGGUAAGCUAAGCCAACAUGAAUAUUUUUCCUUUAUUACGUUUGUCAACUUUCAGCUCUGUUCUAACAACUACUCUCUACUUUUUACUCCUCUUACCACUUUUCGGU